This 3315-nucleotide long non-coding RNA is filed under the name Sus scrofa (pig). Its description in RNAcentral is "lncRNA (ENSSSCG00050056261.1)". Lineage: Eukaryota; Metazoa; Chordata; Mammalia; Artiodactyla; Suidae. The record is from RNAcentral.
GCUGAAAUAUUGUAGGGGACAUGCUAGACUUCAUAUCACUUCAAUUCAGCAUAUUUUAAAGGACAUCUUUAACAAUGUACAUACCUUUUUGCAAUCUACAAUAUCAUUAUCAUACCUAAGAAAAAUUAAAAAUUCCUGAUACAAAGUUGUAUUUUGUAUUAUCUGAUACAAAGUUGUAUUUCAAAUUUUUUUAAUUUUCUCAAAAAAUCCUUGGAGGUCCCAUCGUGGCACAGUGGAAGCGAAUCCAACUAGUAUCCAUGAGAAUGUGGGUUCAACCUCUGGCCUAGCUCAGUAUGUCAGGGAACCAGCGAUGCCGUGAGCUGUGGCGUAGGUCUCAGACAUGAGACCCGUUGCUGUGGCUGUUGCUGUGGCAUAGGCCAGUAGCUGUAGCUCCCAUUCGACCCAUGGCCUGGGAACUUCCAUAUGCCACAAGUGCGGCUCUAAAAAGCAAAGAAAAAAAAAAUUCCUUCUUCACAUAUGAGUUAUUAGAAUCAGGAUCUAAACAUCGUCCACAGAUUAUUUUUGGUGAUGUCUCCUAAAUACUCAUCUGAAGCAGUCUCCUUCCUUGUCUUCUAAAUUUUUCACCCCAUUGACUUGAAAAAAAAAAAAACUGGGUUAAUUGUCCUAUAGAAUGUCUUAUAUUUUAGCUAUCUCACUUUGAUUCCUUCGUAGGGUCUCAUUUAACCAGGAAAUUUUCUGUAAAUUGGAAUUUAGCUUGAAAGAUUUAAAUAAAUUCAGGUGUAAUGUCCUUCCCUAUCUCCUUCCACCAAGAACACUUAAGUGAUGCAACACACAGCAUCACAGAGGUGGCACCUAAUAUCUAAAGGUGGCACCUAAUAUCUAAUUGUCUUCUCCUUAGUGAAACUCAAAGAGCUGUGGGUUCACAUGGCAACAGACUGACUCUUCCAUUAUAAAAUAUCAGUUGCCUCAUUGCCUUUUACCUAAUAGUUUCAUUCCUUGAUGAUCUUUGUCUGAAUUAGUUUUUUAAGGAACAUAAAAUGGUUAUUUUCUAACUCUUUCAUUUCUUCCAUAUUUGUCUGUUGGAAUUUCUCUUUAUGAAAAACUUUCCCUUAUCAAGUAAGGCUCUUUGUUUACCCUAAUAUAUAGUGCACAUAGAUAAAUCAGAAUUAUUCUUAAUUGUUUUCUUUUAAUGACAAUAGAUGAUGGUCCAGGGCCUAGUUUAAGUAUGUAUGUGUUUUUGCAACUUCACUGAGAUAUUUUACAUACCAUACACUCACGCAUUUAAAGUAUACACUCAUCUCUAAGUAUUUUCUUUCUAAGAUUUCACUUGUGAUUUCUUCUUUGAUCUAGGCAGUGUUUAUUUUGACAUACUGCGAAUUUCUCAAAUUUUCAUGAUGUUGCUUUCUCACUUAAUUACUUUGUGGUCAAAGAACAUACUUUGUAUAAAUUUAAUACCUGUCAAUUCACUGAGUCUCAUUUCAUGACCUAGCAUAUUCUCUAUCCUGGAGAACGUUCUUAAUGUGAUUGAGAAGAAUGUGCAUUCUGCUGCUGUUUAGUUUGUUCCACAGGUAGAUGUCAUAAAGUCUAGUUGGCUUUUAGUCUUCCAUAAGUUUUCUAUUUCCUUGUUGAUCUUCUGUUUAGUUGUUUUACUCAUUAUGGAAAGUAAGGAAUUGAAAGCUCCAGCUAUUACUAUUGAAUUUUCUAUUUCUCCCUUUAAAUCUGUCAUUUUCUUUGCUUCAUGUGGUUUGGGGCGCUGUAAGUGCACAAAUAUGUCUUAUAGGUGUUUGGCAGGUGUUCUUAGCAAUAUCUUAUUAGACAUUAGCUUGUUUACUAACGUAAAAGCAAUGACUCUGAAUUUCCUAUCAAAUUCUCUUAGUAUUUCUGGUUGACUUUGACCACCUUCUUCCUAAUUCAUAAAAAUUAGUGAGGUUUUUGUCAUACAUCUAAAGUUUUUUUAUACGUAGAUAAAAUAAAUUUCAUUAGCAAAUGUGUGAAAUAAGCUUGUUUCUGAAAAUACAAUAUUAAUACCAAUUUUUUCUUAAUAAAAUAAUCAAACUAACAUGUAAAUAGACUAACAUGUAAGUACAAAAUAUCAUCAUGAUAUAAAUGUUUUAAGUAUUCUUUAAAAUAAUCAAACUAACACUUAAAUACAAAAUACCACCAUGAUAGAAAUGUUUUAAGGAUGAGGCCAUGGAAAGAAUAGUUAAAGGUUAUCAACUAUAAGCAUUAAUCUUGAUAAAAUCAUGGAAAAAUUAAACGUAGCCAACAAGUGAUCACAAAAUGAAGGAAGGACCACAUUUAAAAAGAGUUCAUGUCUGAUAACUGAUGUGCACGCAUGGCUCUAAGACUUUGCAAGUAUUUUAUAUUAAAACAUUGGAAUUAUGGAGAAUGGGAGAAAGGAGGUAGAAAACCCAAGCCCUUUGCAAAUGGAGAUUCUAUGAUCCCUUAUUAAAGUAAUGAAAGUGUAUAUGGGAUAAAAAUUUAAUAAGGAGAUAUAAAUAGAGGAUAAAAAAGGCUGAAGAUAAAACUAUAGCUUCUCAGGGUCAUUUGUUAAACUCUGUCAUCUAUAACCCAUAUCCACAGCUGUGAAGAAAAGGCAGGAGACAAGCCUUGAGCUUCUACAAAGUGAAGAAUUGGAGUUAUUAUCUCCAUAUAAUGUUCCAUAUAUUAUCUCCAUGAGUUCAACUUCAGUGAAGUAACAGACUAGACAAAAAUCUGUCUGUGGGGAAAAGAUACAUGUCUGAUGUAAGGCAGGAAAAAAAGAAAAGAAAAGGAAAAAUGGGGUAGGAAAAAACUCUUUAUUGAGAAUUUAUAACCACAGUUCUUCUUUCAUGGAAUUAGGAUUUAAAUUUAUAUUAACUAUAUUGUUCCAAAUACUCCAGACUCAGAAAUUAAUUUAUAGUUUUUUUAUGAAAGGAAUGUCCCAGAAAACUGGAGAGAAGCCAGAGCAAAUCUUCUCUAAGAGAUUUAUAGACUCAUAUCCAAAAAAGGAAAUAGGCAGCCAUGAGUGAAAGCAGAAUAACAAACUGAAGGUUUUGACUCCUGAGAACUUUGAAUUUUAAAAAUAUAUGAGGUAUAAUGAAAAUUAAUCAAAGUUUAAAAUAAAGAUGGGAUCAAAAUGAUGAACAAGUAAUAAAAUACUAUUAAAAUAUCAAGUGAGAUGGAAAAGAUCUGAAAAGAUUGCUAGAGAUGAGAAAUAUAAAAUCCAAAUUAUAUACUUCAAUAUUUUUUAAAUAGCAAAACAGAUAAUUCUAGAAUCCCAAAUAAGACAAAAAAUUUAAUUUUUAAGAAAUUAAAAAACCAGAGUUCCUGUUGUGGCUCAGUGGUUAACAAAUCUGACUAGGAACCAUGAGG